GACGAACGCUGGUGGCGUGCUUAACACAUGCAAGUCGAACGGAAAGGCCCUGCUUGCAGGGUACUCGAGUGGCGAACGGGUGAGUAACACGUGGGUGAUCUGCCCUGCACUUCGGGAUAAGCCUGGGAAACUGGGUCUAAUACCGGAUAGGAGCCAUUUUUAGUGUGAUGGUUGGAAAGUUUUUUCGGUGUAGGAUGAGCUCGCGGCCUAUCAGCUUGUUGGUGGGGUAAUGGCCUACCAAGGCGGCGACGGGUAGCCGGCCUGAGAGGGUGGACGGCCACAUUGGGACUGAGAUACGGCCCAGACUCCUACGGGAGGCAGCAGUGGGGAAUAUUGCACAAUGGGCGCAAGCCUGAUGCAGCGACGCCGCGUGGGGGAUGACGGCCUUCGGGUUGGAAACUCCUUUCGCUAGGGACGAAGCUUUUUGUGACGGUACCUAGAUAAGAAGCACCGGCUAACUACGUG
RNAcentral lists this ribosomal RNA (465 nucleotides) under uncultured bacterium. RNAcentral describes it as "partial 16S ribosomal RNA". It matches the Rfam family "Bacterial small subunit ribosomal RNA", at positions 28 to 507 of the family's 1533-position model. The record is from RNAcentral.